AAAACCCUGGAAUGAGUAGGUGUGUCCAAACUAUAUUAUAUUUCACUAAAACCUUUCUCGGAUGGCCCAACCUCUUUCCCUCUUGGGUGUAUAGUCAAUAUUGGACCUGACCUCAACUUCCCCCAAAAUACUGUGCUGCAGGAUGACACACACACUAAUGUAGUCAUUCACAGCAAACAACGUUGGUAGAGCCUUUUUAAAUCGUAUUUUUUGCCUAGAUCAGUUAUUUUGUGUGUUCUUAUUAGGUUUUCUUGGUUUUGUUUUUCCAGGUUUCGGAUUUCCCCCCAAAAUGUCUGUGUUCAUAACAAUGCUUAAACCACAUCAGGGGAUGACUUUUGAGGUCUUGGAAAAAUCUAAGAAACUGUGUAAUUGCCCUUUAAUUCAGUGAGCAUGCCCUGCACUGUUGUUUUGUUAGCAGGUUUUCUGGAGUGCAGUUAGCACACAUGUGAUGUGAUUCAGCUGCCAAUGGAAUGGGGGGAGUAAUCAAAAGCCCACUUGUGCGGCCACUGGACAGCAAAAAACGAGCUGGAACCAACAUGGAGUACCUCCAGUAGGAAGAGAGGCAAGAACCAUUUGUCUGACAACUCAGGGACAAGCUACACUAUUCACAGCAAUUACAUUGUAAUGUUCAAUGUAAUUGCAUUGCUGGACUUUUUGAAGCUUCAAGUAUUUGUACUGCUUAAAAUUUUUACAAAUGUAUGGUUUAAACAGGUGUUUUAUGUUUAUUUGUUUUAGCUAUUAGUGAUAAUUCCCAGUGUUAAUACAUUUUUGUUUACAUCAUUAAGCCUUUAUGUAUCUGUCAUGAUCAAAGGGGUCUGACUUUAUACUAAGCAGAGCCUCAUAGGAUACAAGGCAUUUAUGUAUGUGUUAUAAAUUACCAAGGGGUCUCACUUCAAACUAAGUAUUACAGGACAACAUAAAUAUGUUAUUAACCUUCUGCUGAUUUCUCUCAUGAUCCACAUAUUACUGUAAGGGUGAGAGGUAUUUAUAUGGGUUGAUGGACCUGCAAAGCUUGCGUUUGUGUGUGUGAGAACCAAGAUGAUUUGGAGUAGUCCAACCUGAGACUGCCACACCAGGUAUUCCUCUUCUGUUCCCAUGGAGACCAGGGCUUGAUUACAUCCGGUUACAAUGGCAACAGCAUUUUGUAGCUGAUCGUUCAGUGGGGGAGUGGGUGAAUGUGUCAAAGACCUGACUAGGCCCAGCACUGCGCGGUAUGACUCAUUUUUGCUGGGUG
This 1234-nucleotide long non-coding RNA is filed under the name Salmo trutta (river trout). Its description in RNAcentral is "lncRNA (ENSSTUG00000034009.1)". The record is from RNAcentral. Lineage: Eukaryota; Metazoa; Chordata; Actinopteri; Salmoniformes; Salmonidae.